GUUGUAUAGUUAAGUGACUAAGCGCACAAGGUGGAUGCCUUGGCAAUCAGAGGCGAAG
This 58-nucleotide ribosomal RNA is filed under the name Mannheimia haemolytica D38. Its description in RNAcentral is "partial 23S ribosomal RNA". The record is from RNAcentral. Lineage: Bacteria; Pseudomonadati; Pseudomonadota; Gammaproteobacteria; Pasteurellales; Pasteurellaceae.